CAGUAGCCGCGGUAAUACGAAGGGGGCUAGCGUUGCUCGGAAUGACUGGGCGUAAAGGGCGCGUAGGCGGUUUGUACAGUCAGAUGUGAAAUUCCUGGGCUCAACCUGGGGACUGCAUUUAAUACGUACGGACUUGAGUGGAGAAGAGGGUCGUGGAAUUUCCAGUGUAGAGGUGAAAUUCGUAGAUAUUGGAAAGAACACCGGUGGCGAAGGCGGCGACCUGGUCUUUAACUGACGCUGAGGCGCGAAAGCGUGGGGAGCAAACAGGAUUAGAUACCCCCGUAGUCCCUGUCUCUUAUAC
Molecule: ribosomal RNA, 301 nt
Filed under: uncultured bacterium
Lineage: Bacteria
Description: partial 16S ribosomal RNA
Rfam family: Bacterial small subunit ribosomal RNA
Source: RNAcentral